Molecule: ribosomal RNA, 509 nt
Filed under: uncultured bacterium
Lineage: Bacteria
Description: partial 16S ribosomal RNA
Rfam family: Bacterial small subunit ribosomal RNA
Source: RNAcentral
GACGAACGCUGGCGGCGUGCUUAACACAUGCAAGUCGAACGAAGAGCGAUGGAAGCUUGCUUCUAUCAAUCUUAGUGGCGAACGGGUGAGUAACGCGUAAUCAACCUGCCCUUCAGAGGGGGACAACAGUUGGAAACGACUGCUAAUACCGCAUACGAUCUAAUCUCGGCAUCGAGGAUAGAUGAAAGGUGGCCUCUACAUGUAAGCUAUCACUGAGGAGGGGAUUGCGUCUGAUUAGCUAGUUGGAGGGGUAACGGCCCACCAAGGCGAUGAUCAGUAGCCGGUCUGAGAGGAUGAACGGCCACAUUGGGACUGAGACACGGCCCAGACUCCUACGGGAGGCAGCAGUGGGGAAUCUUCCGCAAUGGACGAAAGUCUGACGGAGCAACGCCGCGUGAGCGAUGACGGCCUUCGGGUUGUAAAGCUCUGUUAAUCGGGACGAAAGGCCUUCUUGCGAAUAGUGAGAAGGAUUGACGGUACCGGAAUAGAAAGCCACGGCUAACUACGUG